GCCAGCAUGGUGUAGUGGUUUGAGCAUUGGACUAUGAUUCUGGAGUACAGGGUUUGAAUCCCUGCUCAGCCA
Molecule: non-coding RNA, 72 nt
Organism: Phrynosoma platyrhinos (Desert horned lizard)
Lineage: Eukaryota; Metazoa; Chordata; Lepidosauria; Squamata; Phrynosomatidae
Source: the annotation of a GenBank genome assembly